GUAUGUUUUCAUUGUCCUCCUCUUUUACUUCCCAGUAUAAUUUCAGUACAGAUUACCCUGUGAAUAGUACUGACUGUAGGAAAGUUGCCUAACAGAUGUUACAGACCUGAUUUUAGUUGACUGUUUCUUAUGGUUAUUUCAAGAUCAACCUGUUCUAUCUGCUGUGAAGGUGUUCAGAGUCAUGCCUCUUGGGGUAUGUUUAACAGAUCUUCUGUCGCUACAGGUUCAGAUAGAUUUGAUUUACUUUGCCAGCCUGCCUCCCAGUUAGUGACAGCCUUUUUCUUCCGUUGUUCUUGCAGCCAGGUAUGGAAGAUCUGACUGUGACAUGCACUUUCACAUGGAACUCCUCACGGAAAAUGCAGCUCCUUGCAGGUGAUGUCAUUAAAUCAAUGGUGGAAGUCACACAAGGUAAGCAACUAUGGCUCUUUGUGUGUCUUUUUAAAAAGACGCACAUUUAUCAGAGAGAUUCAUUAUUAAAAAGUGAUGGUGGAGAGAUAAAUCAGUGUUGGUUUUAAAGGUUAGAUCAGUUAUAUGGGUCUUCAAAGCAUGUGCUGUUUUUAUCAUAAUUAAGAGCUCUUCUUAACAAGAUCAUCUUUUUUUCUGCUUUAAAUGCAUAUUUUAAUGUUGGGUCUGACUUUAUGGCUCCUGUAUCCUAAAAAAGAGCUCUCUGGAGGAUGAGUUUCUUCCAUCAUAGAAACUUUUGAGUCUUCAGGAGUUUUGCUGCAUAAACAAAACUCAUUAAUAUUUCUGGGAGACCAAAAUGUAUAGAGUUUGAGCUAAUUCUUGUACUGAUUGAC
Molecule: long non-coding RNA, 797 nt
Filed under: Corvus moneduloides (New Caledonian crow)
Lineage: Eukaryota; Metazoa; Chordata; Aves; Passeriformes; Corvidae
Description: lncRNA (ENSCMUG00000020088.1)
Source: RNAcentral